UACUGCACCAUUGGAUUGGUGUGUAUUAUUAGGUAUUACUGCACCAUUGGAUUGGUGUGUAUUAUUAGGUAUUACUGCACCAUUGGAUUGGUGUGUAUUAUUAGGUAUUACUGCACCAUUGGAUUGGUGUGUAUUAUUAGGUAUUACUGCACUGUUGGAUUGGUGUGUAUUAUUAGGUAUUACUGCACCGUUGGAUUGGUGUGUAUUAUUAGGUAUUACUGCACUGUUGGAUUGGUGUGUAUUAUUAGGUAUUACUGCACUGUUGGAUUGGUGUGUAUUAUUAGGUAUUACUGCACUGUUGGAUUGGUGUGUAUUAUUAGGUAUUACUGCACCAUUGGAUUGGUGUGUAUUAUUAGGUAUUACUGCACCAUUGGAUUGGUGUGUA
Molecule: long non-coding RNA, 385 nt
Organism: Oncorhynchus keta (chum salmon)
Lineage: Eukaryota; Metazoa; Chordata; Actinopteri; Salmoniformes; Salmonidae
Exons: 3
Source: RefSeq, a predicted model, not a curated record